RNAcentral lists this ribosomal RNA (460 nucleotides) under uncultured bacterium. Its description in RNAcentral is "bacterial SSU rRNA". It matches the Rfam family "Bacterial small subunit ribosomal RNA", at positions 340 to 790 of the family's 1533-position model. The record is from RNAcentral.
UACGGGAGGCAGCAGUGGGGAAUAUUGCACAAUGGGCGAAAGCCUGAUGCAGCUAUGCCGCGUGUAUGAAGAAGGCCUUAGGGUUGUAAAGUACUUUCAUCGGGGAGGAAAAAACAAAACUAAUAAUUUUAUUUCUUGACGUUACCCGAAAAAGAAGCACCGGCUAACUCCGUGCCAGCAGCCGCGGUAAUACGGAGGGUGCUAGCGUUAAUCAGAAUUACUGGGCGUAAAGAGCACGUAGGUGGUUUUUUUAAGUCAGAUGUGAAAUCCCUGGGCUUAACCUAGGAACUGCAUUUUGAAACUGAAAUACUAGAGUAUCGUAGAGGGAGGUAGAAUUCUAGGUGUAGCGGUGAAAUGCGUAGAUAUCUGGAGGAAUACCUGUGGCGAAAGCGGCCUCCUAAACGAAUACUGACACUGAGGUGCGAAAGCGUGGGGAGCAAACAGGGAUUAGGAUACCCGU